GGAUAACAUACCGAAAGGUAUGCUAAUACGGGAUAAUAUAUUUGAGAGGCAUCUCUUAAAUAUCAAAGGUGAGCCAGUACAGGAUGGACCCGCGUCUGAUUAGCUAGUUGGUAAGGUAACGGCUUACCAAGGCAACGAUCAGUAGCCGACCUGAGAGGGUGAUCGGCCACAUUGGAACUGAGACACGGUCCAAACUCCUACGGGAGGCAGCAGUGGGGAAUAUUGCACAAUGGGCGAAAGCCUGAUGCAGCAACGCCGCGUGGGUGAUGAAGGCCUUCGGGUCGUAAAACUCUGUCCUCAAGGAAGAUAAUGACGGUACUUGAGGAGGAAGCCCCGGCUAACUACGUGCCAGCAGCCGCGGUAAUACGUAGGGGGCUAGCGUUAUCCGGAUUUACUGGCGUAAAGGGUGCGUAGGCGGUCUUUCAAGUCAGGAGUGAAAGGCUACGGCUCAACCGUAGUAAGCUCUUGAAACUGGGAGACUUGAGUGCAGGAGAGGAGAGUGGAAUUCCUAGUGUAGCGGUGAAAUGCGUAGAUAUUAGGAGGAACACCAGUUGCGAAGGCGGCUCUCUGGACUGUAACUGACGCUGAGGCACGAAAGCGUGGGGAGCAAACAGGAUUAGAUACCCUGGUAGUCCACGCUGUAAACGAUGAGUACUAGGUGUCGGGGGUUACCCCCUUCGGUGCCGCAG
This 689-nucleotide ribosomal RNA is filed under the name uncultured bacterium. RNAcentral's name for it is "bacterial SSU rRNA". It matches the Rfam family "Bacterial small subunit ribosomal RNA", at positions 141 to 851 of the family's 1533-position model. The record is from RNAcentral.